UGGGGAAUAUUGGACAAUGGGCGCAAGCCUGAUCCAGCCAUGCCGCGUGAGUGAUGAAGGCCUUAGGGUUGUAAAGCUCUUUUACCUGGGAAGAUAAUGACGGUACCAGGAGAAUAAGCCCCGGCUAACUUCGUGCCAGCAGCCGCGGUAAUACGAAGGGGGCUAGCGUUGUUCGGAUUUACUGGGCGUAAAGCGCACGUAGGCGGAUCUUUAAGUCAGAGGUGAAAUCCCAAGGCUCAACCUUGGAACUGCCUUUGAUACUGGGGAUCUCGAGUUCGGGAGAGGUGAGUGGAACUGCGAGUGUAGAGGUGAAAUUCGUAGAUAUUCGCAAGAACACCAGUGGCGAAGGCGGCUCACUGGCCCGAUACUGACGCUGAGGUGCGAAAGCGUGGGGAGCAAACA
RNAcentral lists this ribosomal RNA (402 nucleotides) under uncultured Beijerinckia sp. RNAcentral describes it as "partial 16S ribosomal RNA". It matches the Rfam family "Bacterial small subunit ribosomal RNA", at positions 355 to 774 of the family's 1533-position model. Lineage: Bacteria; Pseudomonadati; Pseudomonadota; Alphaproteobacteria; Hyphomicrobiales; Beijerinckiaceae. The record is from RNAcentral.